RNAcentral lists this long non-coding RNA (2911 nucleotides) under Orbicella faveolata. RNAcentral describes it as "uncharacterized LOC110047656". Lineage: Eukaryota; Metazoa; Cnidaria; Anthozoa; Scleractinia; Merulinidae. The record is from RNAcentral.
UAUUAUCACAUUUCCAAACGGAUCGAAGCUUAUUUUAAAAAAAAUACUUCGCUGUGCCAUUCCAUUUUAGACGGUGUCUGCAUGGAAAUAGGCCAAAACAAGGUGUAUCGUAUCUGAUGUAAUAAUUCAAACAAAAAGACCGUGUUUGACCAUAUUUCUAAACAUUAGGAAGGGAAGGGAGUUAGUUUCAGACUGGUGCCAGAAGCUUGCUAGUGACCUGCACAAUUAAGCUUAUUCUUUUCUCGACGUUAAGUAAAAUAACGCCUUCGUAAAGUUAGCAGUACAAGUGACAAAAUAUUGCACGUGAAAGUGUUUCAAUCCUCGUGAUAUUAAAAGUCCUCGCGCGCAAAACAUUCCCCUCCCUACCCGGGGAGUGGAAGUACUCUCAUAAUCUAGUGAGAAACUGGAUAAUCGCACAAAAAAAGUGAAAUAUUUGAAUUGAAAAUCCGUUUCCAGAAGAUUCCAGAAUGGAUUCCUAUCGGAAAGAAUUUGAGAUAAUUCCGGAUCGAUGUGACAGAUGGUUUUCUUAACCAUUAUAACACAUGAGACUAUCAUACUCUCUUGUAUAACAUUAAUUUAAAUAAUUUUCAGCAAGUUCAUUCCAUCCAUGAGAGACCCAUCACAAUAAUGUUUUAUUAAUUAUUUCUUGUAAACUGCCGGACGUUACUACGCCACACUAACGGACGUUAUGUCCGGCGUCCAGCUUCAAGCCUGUACAACUGAUGUGUUAGAUGUGAGCCAUUGCAAGCUAGUUUUCAUACAUUGGAGCCUUGCUCAACUUGAAUUGGUACAUCUGUUUAUGGUUUAUAUUGCAUACGGUAGAUGAGCUUAUACACGUGUUUGUAUGUGUAAAGGAAUUCCGGGAGCGUCUCACAACAAGAUUAAAAGCUCGGGAUUAAUUAACUCGGGUUAAAAUCGUAACUUCCACUCUGGGACAUUUUCCUUUGUCCCAAGAUUGUGAAAUUUCCCUACCUAAAGUCACUUAUCCGGGCUGAAGUUACUUGCGGGACUUUUCCCGAAGUUAGUUAAACGUUUGUAAACAGAGCUCAUAGAAUGUAUCGUCAUUCAAACGUUAGUGUCCAAGGAAGAAAGAAAUCCAAGCCAAGUUAAAGUGUAUUUGUAGUGGAAAAUCAUGUCCGUGAUCAAAUUGGAAACAAUUGAAGUAGAACAGACAGGAUUGACCAAGGGGAGAACGGAAAAGAUGUCGAAAAGACAUCUGCCAAAGGAAACGGAGUGAAAGCGAAGCUUUUAAAGUGUUAUACAUCAAUUCCAAUCAGGGCAGAAUAAAUGAGGGAUGUUAGAAAUUAGAACCGGAGCAUAAUCACGAAGCGAGACAAUAGUUCUUUUGCUAUUGAACUUGUCACGAUCACGGUUUGUUUGUUAUUUCUUCAUACAGUCUUGUUUGAAAUAUUUGACAAGAAGAACUUUUCUUAAGUGUUGAUGCCCAGUCGUUUUGUAGCCUAAACAAAGGUCACUCUGUGGUCAGCCAUUUGAUGAUGCAAUCAGGAGGGGUAUAAAAACAUCAUGCUGUUUAAAAAAAAAUCCUUGAAAAUAUUCGCUUUAGAACUGGGCAACAAGUCAAGUGUCCACUGCGUUAUAGUGAUCGAAUGUGCCAUUUCUAUGUUCAACCUUUGUCUAGUAAACGACUACUUCUCCUUCGAUUCCACGACGAAGAGCCUAGAGAAUGCGUUCUUCCAAAUGUCUCGAUUAAAGCUGAUCAAAUAUCGGUAAAUAAACCACGGUAUAGAUUGUAUUCAUCAUGAACUAGUGAACCCUAGUAUAGUUACGGAGCAAAUCACGUGCUCAACUUGUUUUAUACUCAAUUUUACCAGCUCAGUAGUCUACGCAUAUCGUGUUUUAUAAAAAUAAAGAAACAGGACAAAUACCCCGUGACUUAGAUUUCCUAAAUUGAAAGUAUUCACCUAAAUGUUUUCAUUUUCAAACAGAAUUUAUCAUAACAGGUGCUUGGAAUCUUCUAAAAUAGAUUCUCAAGGAAUCUAUUCUGUUUUCAACUUCUACACUGUCCUGGGCUCUUUAAAAUUCGAAAGUAUUUGCGUUAACAAUCCGGUACAAAAUUGCAAUAUAACCUGUAACGUUAUUUUCCAGCCGGUAAAGCUGCAUGUCACGCGAUCUAACGCGUGACAACCCCUAAAAAUACCAGGACUUUCAUGCUAAUUUUAUACAGCAAAGAAAGGAAAGUUCUAUCUUUUCAUUUUCUUAAAGAAACUUUACUAACCUUUUAGCAAAACCAAAUUGAAAUCUAUGUUAGCUAUUUCUGAUUCUUUCUUACGUAGCGUGGCAUGGCGAUUUUCAAAUUCCGAUAUAUGUUCUUCUCUUUUAUGGGAUAAAAUCUAGAAUUUUCCCCACUAGCGUAGCACAUGCUCCUGCGCUUUAUAAACAACCGGUUUCACAGGAUCAACGAGAAUCAUUUGCGACUAACAUUUUUUUAGUCUUUAUCAUUUUCUUCGUAAAGCGCGUGACUUCGGGGAAUCCCCGAGCUGCAAUUUGCAUAAUUAACUUCCUGCCCGUAACUUUUUGUAUAAAUACAACUCCGGAUCACAAUUCCGCUGUACUACAGCUAUCAACUUUUGGAAGCUAUACACUGGUAAUCUAGUUGGAAAGAACACUAUCCUGAGAAAACCAUGUCUGAGGCAACGGGAAUUCAAGCUGCAAUUCGUCAACACAUACACGAACACCAGCGAGGUGGAAACCUCUUGAAGGCCGACGUUAGAAAUGGCCAUGUAAACCAAGCACACGUUCCGGUCACGUUUACUGGAACCCGCACAGACGAUAGAAGAACAGGUAAACUUUAUGAAAGUGUUUCAUAGAAAUUCGGUUUGAUACCAAAAAUGUUUCCAUAAAACUUACUUCAAGUGGCCAACACUUCUUCUAAAAAUCGAAAGAACCAGAA